Molecule: ribosomal RNA, 371 nt
Filed under: uncultured organism
Description: bacterial SSU rRNA
Rfam family: Bacterial small subunit ribosomal RNA
Source: RNAcentral
CGGGGGGGCAAGCGUUGUUCGGAAUUACUGGGCGUAAAGGGCGCGUAGGCGGUUUGCUAAGUUGAAUGUGAAAACUCUGGGCUUAACCCAGAGCCUGCAUUCAAUACUGGCAGGCUAGAGUUCUGGAGGGGAUAGCGGAAUUCCUGGUGUAGCGGUGAAAUGCGUAGAUAUCAGGAGGAACACCGGUGGCGAAGGCGGCUAUCUGGACAGAGUCUGACGCUGAGGCGCGAAAGCUAGGGGAGCAAACAGGAUUAGAUACCCUGGUAGUCCUAGCCCUAAACGAUGGAUACUUGCUGUGACUGGGAUUGAAUCCAGCCGUGGCGAAGCUAACGCAUUAAGUAUCCCGCCUGGGGAGUACGGUCGCAAGGCUG